Molecule: long non-coding RNA, 1131 nt
Filed under: Gouania willdenowi (blunt-snouted clingfish)
Lineage: Eukaryota; Metazoa; Chordata; Actinopteri; Blenniiformes; Gobiesocidae
Description: lncRNA (ENSGWIG00000004977.1)
Source: RNAcentral
CUCAGGGGUGUGCGUAACACGUUACACUCUCACAUUAAAGACAGACCCAGUCAGAGAAUUAAUGUCGGUCACUGGACUUUAAUAACAAGUGUAGUAAUGGAAACCUAUAUGUGUGUGUGUGUGUUUGUCUGUGUGUGUGUGUGUGUGUGGGCUUGGUUCAUAAGAACCGGUUCAACUGCCCUUCCUGCUUUAAGAGCUACCGAACCAUGCUGGACCUGGCCCAGCACCGCUGCAGCGCCGCGGCCAAAAACCAGCCGGCUGGCCGUCGAUCAAAUUUCGCUUCUACACCUCGUCGCCAGCAGCAGCGGAACAACGCUAAGUCCAUGAUGCCGCCACAGCAUGGAGGACACGGGCAGCAGGAUCCCCUCCCUCCCCACUACGUGUCACCAAUGUCCCAGAACAGUCGGUCUGUGUCUGACCCGCACCAGGGCCGAUCCAGCUCAGUAUCCUCUCAGAGUAGCAGUAUGAGGAGCUCGUCCUCUAACAAACACGUCUCCUCAUCCAGUGCUGCCCCAUCCUCCUCCUACUCCCUGCUCCAGCCCCUGGUCCCUGAGGUAAAGGAGAUGAGCUUGGGAUACACUAGGCUGAGCGCCAACCCCAUGCCAAAGCACCAGGACACGUACUCCAUGACGUCGCAGCGGCCCCUCACCGCCAUCAACCCUAUCGGUCACACUCUCCAUCCGAACAGCGCGCCCACGCUCAAGCCUACCGCCGUGCCACGCAGCAUCCAGGCCAUGCCCUGGGAACAGCGCUCACUCUACAAUCAAUGAGACUCACCACCGCCACCCCCCCCCCCAAACUCCCUCUCACCUCACAUCCACUGAACGCUUCCUCUUCCUUUUCCUCCCUCACCGGCCUUUUUCAGGCGCCGCACGAGCGGAGUAACAGACACACUACUCUCUCCCUCUGGAACGUUGUCGGAGAACAAGUAAGGUAACCAUUAAGAAGUAGUUGAGAUUGAUUACAGAGUAGAUACUUUUAAAAUAAUGUUUUGCCUUGACCCUCAUGUAUUAUGUAUGCCAAGUAUUGAAUCUAAGUUAAAAUGUCCUUUCACUAAGACUUUCUCUACCCCCGUCGUUCUCUCCCGCUCUAGUUAAUAAAUAUCUAUCCUUCCAUUUAUGAAUAGCGUGU